RNAcentral lists this ribosomal RNA (466 nucleotides) under uncultured bacterium. RNAcentral's name for it is "partial 16S ribosomal RNA". It matches the Rfam family "Bacterial small subunit ribosomal RNA", at positions 28 to 507 of the family's 1533-position model. The record is from RNAcentral.
GAUGAACGCUGGCGGCGUGCUUAACGCAUGCAAGUCGAACGAUGAAGCCCAGCUUGCUGCGUGGAUUAGUGGCGAACGGGUGAGUAACACGUGAGUAACCUGCCCUUAACUCUGGGAUAAGCCUGGGAAACUGGGUCUAAUACCGGAUAGGAGCGUCCACCGCAUGGUGGGUGUUGGAAAGAUUUAUCGGUUUUGGAUGGACUCGCGGCCUAUCAGCUUGUUGGUGAGGUAAUGGCUCACCAAGGCGACGACGGGUAGCCGGCCUGAGAGGGUGACCGGCCACACUGGGACUGAGACACGGCCCAGACUCCUACGGGAGGCAGCAGUGGGGAAUAUUGCACAAUGGGCGCAAGCCUGAUGCAGCGACGCCGCGUGAGGGAUGACGGCCUUCGGGUUGUAAACCUCUUUCAGUAGGGAAGAAGCGAAAGUGACGGUACCUGCAGAAGAAGCACCGGCUAACUACGUG